Molecule: ribosomal RNA, 509 nt
Filed under: uncultured bacterium
Lineage: Bacteria
Description: bacterial SSU rRNA
Rfam family: Bacterial small subunit ribosomal RNA
Source: RNAcentral
UCAGGAUGAACGCUGGCGGCGUGCUUAACACAUGCAAGUCGAACGGACUUGUGACACCGUCUCGGAUUUAGCUUGCUAUUGAAGAGACACCGUUGCAAGUUAGUGGCGGACGGGUGAGUAACGCGUGGGCAACCUGCCUUUAUCCGGGGGAUAACAGUUAGAAAUGACUGCUAAUACCGCAUAAGCGCACGGUACCGCAUGGUACAGUGUGAAAAACUCCGGUGGAUAGAGAUGGACCCGCGUUAGAUUAGCCAGUUGGCGUGGUAACGGCCCACCAAAGCGACGAUCUAUAGCCGGCCUGAGAGGGCGACCGGCCACAUUGGGACUGAGACACGGCCCAAACUCCUACGGGAGGCAGCAGUGGGGAAUAUUGUACAAUGGGGGAAACCCUGAUGCCAGCGACGCCGCGUGAGUGAAGAAGUAUUUCGGUAUGUAAAGCUCUAUCAGCAGGGAAGAAAAAGGACGGUACCUGCACAAGAAGCCCCGGCUAACUACGUGCCAGCCGCUGC